This 989-nucleotide long non-coding RNA is filed under the name Homo sapiens (human). RNAcentral's name for it is "non-protein coding lnc-CCDC144A-5:1". The record is from RNAcentral. Lineage: Eukaryota; Metazoa; Chordata; Mammalia; Primates; Hominidae.
UUUCUUCAACAAAUUGUGCUAGGAAAACUGGAUAUCCACACACAGAAUAACAAAGUUGAACACUUUCCUUAUGCCAUAUACCAAAAAUAACUCAAAAUGGAUCAAAGACAUAACUAUAAGAGCUAAAAUUAUAAAGCUCUUAGAAGAAAAGAUAGAGAUAAAUUUUCAUGACCUUGGAUUCGGCAGUGAAUUCUUAUGUGUGACAUCAAAAACACAAGCAACAAAAGGAAACUAGAUAAAUUGAACUCCAUCGAAAUUAAAACAUUUUCUACUGGCUGGGAGGGCUGGCUCAUGACGGGGGUGAAACCCCAUCUCUACUAAAAAUACAAAAAUUAGCUGGAGGUGGUGGUGCUUGCCUGUAAUUGCAGCUUCUUGGGAGGCUGAGGCAUGAGAAUUGUGAGAACUGCUUCAACCCAGGAGGUUGAGGUUGCAGUGAGCUGAGAUCGCACCACUGCACUCCAGCCUAGGUGACAGAGUAAGACCCUGUCUUAAAAAACAAAAAAUUACCAUAAAACCUUUUCUGCAUUAAAUGCCACUAUCAACUUGAGUGAAAAGACAAACUUCAAAAUGAGAAAAAUAUUUUCAGAUUUGUCUUAGUCUGUUUUGUGCUGCUAUAAUGGAGUACCACAGUCGGGGUAAUUUGUAAUGAAGAGAAGUUUACUGGCUAACAGUUCUGGAGGCUGGGAAGUCCAAGAACAAGGGGCUGGCAUCUGGCAAGGGCCUUCUUACUGCACUCCAGCCUGGGCAACACAGCGAGACUCCGUCUCAAAAAAAAUAAAAUAAAAAAUAAAAAAAGGAAAAAAAAAAGAAAAUAGGAAAAUCCAUAGAGACAGAAAAAAGACUAGUGGUUACCAGAGCCUGGGAGGAGGGGGGAAAUGUGGAGUGGCUGCUUAAUGGGUGAGGAUUUCCUUUUGGGGUGGUGACAAAUUCUGGACCUAGAUAGUGUUGAUGGUUGCAUGACAUUGUGAAUGUACUUAAUGUCAGUGAAU